GUGGUUGCAUCAGACGGGCGCGGACAGAUGUUGGAGCGCAUCUGGCGGAGCGCGGCUGCGGCGGGGCUGCGAGGGGGACACGCAUUGCUAUCCUAAAGCUAACGGCGUUUGUGCAUCGUUCCUGUGCUUAACACCGCUGCUGCCGUGGGGGGUCAGAUCUGCCGGGGAAAACACAAAGGAAAACAAAGCUCCGAGUCAGAUAUAGACAUUCCAGGAGUCAGUGCAAUGACAUUACCGGCGCACAGAAACUCUGCCGGGGCAGAGCCUGCAAACCCCAUAAUUAGAUGAGUAAUCCUCAUGUGAGUGCUGAAGUCAUUGGGCCCGGAUCACUUGAUGUGUGCACCACAGGACUUUUGGAAAAGGAGCCCCAUGCAAUACCAUCCCUGUGAGGCAGAGUCCGUGUGGACACAUUUAUCUGCCUGUAUUAAUCCCCCUCUGCUCCAUGGGGACCUGGAGUGCCUGUAAUGUUCCCUUGUGAGGGAGCUGGAAGCCUGCAGCAGUGAAGACAGAUUGAUUUUGGGGAGGAAGUAGGAAAAGACACAUCUUCAAAACACCAUUUUGGAGGGAGGUGGAUGGUGCAUCAUCCCUAGGACUCAAAACACACAAGUGACGCUGCAGGGGAAUAAUUUUCAGGAUAUCAUGUUUGGGGGGAAAACAUAAUCUUUUCCAAGGGGCCUAGUGGGAAGUUCUAAUAAAACCCAAACUUGAACUGGAAAA
Long non-coding RNA from Melospiza melodia melodia, 717 nucleotides. RefSeq lists it as uncharacterized. Lineage: Eukaryota; Metazoa; Chordata; Aves; Passeriformes; Passerellidae. The record is from RefSeq and is a predicted model, not a curated record. The transcript has 2 exons.